ACGUGGAUAAUCUGCCCUUAGGUGGAGGAUAACCUCGGGAAACUGAGAAUAAUACUCCAUAGAUCUAGGAUGCUGGAAUGCACUUAGGUUAAAAGUUCCGACGCCUAAGGAUGAGUCUGCGGACUAUCAGGUAGUAGUCAGGGUAAAGGCCUGACUAGCCUACAACGGAUACGGGUUGUGAGAGCAAUAACCCGGAGACGAUAUCUGAGACACGAUAUCGGGCCCUACGGGGCGCAGCAGGCGCGAAACCUUCACAAUGUGCGAAAGCACGAUGAGGGAAUCCCAAGUGCUUGCUCGUAAGAGUAAGCUGUUUUUAUGUUUAAAAAGCAUAGAGAGUAAGGGCUGGGUAAGACGGGUGCCAGCCGCCGCGGUAGUACCUGCAGCUCAAGUGGUGACCACUAUUAUUGGGCCUAAAACGUUCGUAGCCGGUUUGGUAAAUGCCUGGGUAAAUCGUGUAGCUUAACUAUACGAAUUCCGGGUAGACUGU
RNAcentral lists this ribosomal RNA (487 nucleotides) under uncultured archaeon. RNAcentral describes it as "bacterial SSU rRNA". It matches the Rfam family "Archaeal small subunit ribosomal RNA", at positions 98 to 587 of the family's 1478-position model. The record is from RNAcentral.